AAGAGUAGAAAAGGAAAAUUAGAAUGAAGCACCCCGAGAGCAUGAAAAGAAAAAGAAAAGGAAAAUAGAAAUUUGUAUAUGUACACUUACAUAUAUGUAUGUUUAUAUUAGUAUAUGAUUGUUGGAAGAAAAAAGAGUGUUAAUUAGAUGAGAUCCAGGAGCGGCGGCGUUGAUGGAUAAUUAGGAAUCGGAGUAGUGGCUCCAACAAAUGAGCAUAACAAUACAGCGCCUGAUGAUGUAGAAGCGAGCCCUUUGCUCCUUCACAAGGUUGGCACACUUGCCACACCAACUACUACUCUUCCUCUUGCUCUUGGUGCUCUUGGUGCCCAUUCUGACCGAUGUGGGUCCUUCUUUCUUUGACAACUUGCUCCACUUGUCUUCGACGUCGAUCCCACCAUUCUCUUUAUAACAUGUGUAUGCCAUAGAAGCACAAGAUAUCGGGAGUUGUAUCAAUGCUAACAAACAGGAAAAUAAAAUGAAAUUGCUGUGAC
This 491-nucleotide long non-coding RNA is filed under the name Arachis ipaensis. RNAcentral's name for it is "long non-coding RNA (AIPA_LNC000763)". The record is from RNAcentral. Lineage: Eukaryota; Viridiplantae; Streptophyta; Magnoliopsida; Fabales; Fabaceae.